UUUACACCCGCCCACAUACAAUGCAGGCAGAUAUGAGCAAGCAGAGUCAAUGCAUCACAUUUAUGUGCAAAGCAUAACCCCCUCCCCCCCCUUCUCUACCACUAAAAAAAAGAAGCAAAGAAAAGAACGAAAUUGAUUCACAGACGAGGGAAAUGCAGCUUUUAUGUGUCGUGUACAAACUUGUGAGGUGGAAUUUAGGAGGAACUCAGAGGCAGGAGGAUGACCAGAACCAGGAUAGGAGACACCUUUAACCUGCACCUGCUGGACAUCGGGCCGGGUACAGAGUGUGUGUUCGCUCCGUGAGAGUGUGUGUGUGUGUGUGUGUGUGUGUAGCGGAGACAGAUGGAGCAGCCUGAAGCACGAUAUGAGAGAAAAGCUUGUGUGGAUGAAAUUGAUGAAGAGAAAACUUCAGGUCAGUGUUCUGCAUCUACUUUUGGUGCAACUAAUAACAAAUAAAUAAAAAUAGAGGGUGCAUAAUAGGUCUAUCUGUCUGUGUGUGUGUGCGUGCAGGUGAGUGGGAUUUCAUUUAUCCCAUCAAAUCUAAACUAAUUCACUAAAAGCUCGAGUGGGCUUGUUCUGUUAACCGGGGUCAACAGUUUCAAAUGAGCUAUUAAACGACUGCUGGAAGUGACAAAUCUCAGAGUGUCGUUUGAGAGCCUCUUUAGGUGUGAUUCUCCCUCUUAAUAACAUCUCCAGAUAUGUGAGAAUACUAUUAAUUGUGCACUCAGCGGCGUUGUGUGCCACACCCCGCGUUCCCGAGGAGCUUGACUUAUUUGCUCCUCCCGAUGCUCUGAAGUAGGUGGCGACUUACAUUCGUAGGAACAAUGGGAGAAUAUUCAUCAAACGUCUCAUCUGAUUUUUCCUGCUAUCAUUCUUUUUGUUCCUCUCUCUCCUCCCCUCCUUUCUCGGAUCGCUCGCUCUUAAUAUAUGUCUCGCUAAAUUGCUGCCGACAUAUCUGCAUAUUUGGUUUUCGGUAAAAUAUUUGAUUGCUCCUUCCAUUAUCUGUGACAGUGUGUGUGUUAAGGCGUUGUGGCAUAUAGGAUCUUUCCCUCUCCUUGUGAGGAUAACAAUUGAACUGCCUUUUCUUUCAGAAAAAUAGGCAAUACAAGAGGAAGAAAUGUGAAAAGGAUGAGCAAAGAGUGGCUGUUUAUUAUCCUUAAACGUGGAAUCUGGGUGUAAAUCUACACAGAAGGAAGAAGCAGCAGUCUGAACACAAACGGUUUUCAUCUUACCUGAAGAGAGUGCGGUCAAAAGGUGUGCCCGGCCCUCCACAACCAAUUCCCUUAAUUUUCUUAAUGAAACGGUCAAAACACAUUCAUUUGGAGCAGAGUGGGAAUGUUUGUGUGACUCAUCGUUUGCGUGUGAAAAUAAAAUAAAA
This is a long non-coding RNA of Pungitius pungitius (ninespine stickleback), 1378 nucleotides long. RefSeq lists it as uncharacterized. NCBI's taxonomy places the organism in Eukaryota, Metazoa, Chordata, Actinopteri, Perciformes, Gasterosteidae. The record is from RefSeq and is a predicted model, not a curated record. The transcript is spliced from 4 exons.